AUUGAACGCUGGCGGCAGGCUUAACACAUGCAAGUCGAGCGGGGGAAGGUAGCUUCCUACCGGACCUAGCGGCGGACGGGUGAGUAAUGCUUAGGAAUCUGCCUAUUAGUGGGGGACAACAUCUCGAAAGGGAUGCUAAUACCGCAUACGUCCUACGGGAGAAAGCAGGGGAUCUUCGGACCUUGCGCUAAUAGAUGGGCCUAAGUCGGAUUAGCUAGUUGGUGGGGUAAAGGCCUACCAAGGCGACGAUCUGUAGCGGGUCUGCGAGGAUGCACCGCCCAACUGGGACUGAGACACGGCACAGACGCCUACGGGAGGCAGCAGUGGGGAAUGUUGGACAAUGGGAGGAACCCUGAUCCAGCCAUGCCGCGUGUGUGAAGAAGGCCUUAUGGUUGUAAAGCACUUUAAGCGAGGAGGAGGCUACUUUAGUUAAUACCUAGCGAUGGUGGACGUUACUCGCAGAAGAAGCACCGGCUAACUCUGUGCCAGCCGCCCCCGUAA
This 501-nucleotide ribosomal RNA is filed under the name uncultured bacterium. RNAcentral describes it as "partial 16S ribosomal RNA". It matches the Rfam family "Bacterial small subunit ribosomal RNA", at positions 30 to 523 of the family's 1533-position model. The record is from RNAcentral.